GAUGAACGCUGGCGGCGUGCCUCAGACAUGCAAGUCGAACGAGAAAGUUCCCUUCGGGGAGCGAGUAAAGUGGCGCACGGGUGAGUAACACGUAGGUAAUCUACCUUCGGGUGGGGAAUAACCCAGGGAAACUUGGGCUAACACCGCAUAAUGCAGCGGCACCACAUGGUGACAGUUGUUAAAGCGGGGGAUUUUAGGACCUCGCGCCUGAAGAGGAGCCUGCGGCGGAUUAGCUUGUUGGUAAGGUAACGGCUUACCAAGGCGACGAUCCGUAGCCGGCCUGAGAGGGCGGUCGGCCACACUGACACUGACAUACGGGUCAGACUCCUACGGGAGGCAGCAGUCGGGAAUUUUUGGGCAAUGGGCGAAAGCCUGACCCAGCAACGCCGCGUGAAGGA
Molecule: ribosomal RNA, 398 nt
Filed under: uncultured bacterium
Lineage: Bacteria
Description: bacterial SSU rRNA
Rfam family: Bacterial small subunit ribosomal RNA
Source: RNAcentral